UAAUCUAUUGGGUACUCUCAAAUUCAAUGUUGAGGAUAUAACGCCUUUCCUCAGGUCAGAGUGUAAUUUGUUACGUUUAAUAUUCCUUCUGUUUCAAUCUCUUUUGGUUUAUGGUUUGGUAAGAAAACCAAGAAGUAGUCAAACUAAUGUUAAUGUUGUAGCUUAUAUUGCCUUAAAGAUAGAAUACGCAGGUUGUGGGCGCCCCCCAUGCUGCCCCACUUCUUCUUUUGUGUUUUCACUUUGAACAAAAACAAGGGGUUUCAGCCCUGAGCCGCCUUGGGCUGGCCUUCUGGGCAAGGUGUGUCUUUGCACUAAAACCUGCCUACUCAAACGACCCUGCUGCCAUGCUCCAGAGCUGGAGAAGAAGUGAAAGUCACUUGCAAGCUAUAGUCGCAAGAAACAAACACAGAGCAGACGAAGCCAACAAGCUAGCUAACUUAUUUGCUGAUAAACUGUCCUGGUAGCAGGGCCAGCGUUUUCAGAAAAUGUAGACAGAAACAAGCAUAAUUCUCAGUUCUUGGAUCUGAAUCAACUCGACCCCAAAAGAGAAAAAGAAGCGGAAAAAAGACUGCUCAUGACCAAUCAAGAAACCAGAUAAAUAUUGGAAUUCAUUUUGAAAGGUGGAAGAGUGAUGCCCAAAUGGCCACCAUUGUCAUGGACAGGUAGGGAGAUACUGGUGUAGACAGUCUGAUUCCAAGGGAACCUGAGGUUGUAGAAGUUGUGAUUGUGGAAAAGUCCAAAAGAGAGGUAAACAUUUUUAUGGAAUGUUUUGUGAUGGAAUAAUAAUUUGAUUGGUAAUCGACCAAUGGAAGCUAUGUUUGCCUGUUCAGCAUAUUGCUUACAUAGCAUGGCAUUGAGGCCUACCGUGAACUGCCCAACUUCAAGGACUGAAUGAAUAUCCAGUGUGGCCAGUAAAGUAAACAAUGGCUCAUCUGCAUGACAUUGCUAGACCAUGGGCAAUCAAGUAAUAGGAUGGGUACAUUAGCAUGAUACAUGUUACACUGGUUACAGCGCAACACCGCAUCCUAUGUAUUUAAAGGACACUGUUAUGACAUUGACCUAUUUGGCAGUAAUGCCCCCCCAACUUGUUUAAUGUUUCAUGCCAAUACUCACCUUUGCUUUCCCCGUGCUCUGUAAUAUGUGGACCAGCGCACAGGCCACCUCUUCUUUACUCUUCACGCUCAGUAGAGGCUCUAGCACCGCACACAAAGUCCGGUAGUUAUUGGUAACGUACUCGGCAAACUCCUUGUACAGCUCCAUGGGCAGGAUGCUCAUGGUCUGGUAACGAGACUUGAGGCGUAGGGAGGCAUUGAUGAUCUUGCCCCCUGCUUGCCCCUUGGCCAGGAUGCUAGGCUGGAUGACCGGGUACCACUGCUCCACAAACUGUCGGCCCGUGAUGCUGGAGAUGGGGAUACUGACCAGUCCCAGAUGAGAGAGUUGUCUCUUCACCUUGCGUCUCUUCUUGUCAGUCUCCUUGUAGAGAUGAAGGCGUAGGUUGCGGACGGCUGGCAAGUUGUUGAACUCAAAGUGCUCGCCCCAGAACACUGUGUCAGUCCGGGGCUUGCUGGUGGUGCGUGC
Molecule: long non-coding RNA, 1578 nt
Organism: Oncorhynchus keta (chum salmon)
Lineage: Eukaryota; Metazoa; Chordata; Actinopteri; Salmoniformes; Salmonidae
Exons: 3
Source: RefSeq, a predicted model, not a curated record